This 1357-nucleotide small RNA is filed under the name Pongo abelii (Sumatran orangutan). RNAcentral describes it as "retained intron". The record is from RNAcentral. Lineage: Eukaryota; Metazoa; Chordata; Mammalia; Primates; Hominidae.
GCAAGCAGGGGUACCGGGAUGGCCUGCGCUUCCUGCAGCGGAACGGUGCGCGGACCCGGGCGGGAGAGGGCGGGGUGGGCUUGGCUCUGCUGCCCCCGCUUCCUGCGGCGGAACGGCCUCCUGAACCGGCCCAACCCCUUGCUGGCGUUGCCCCCCUCCCGCCCCCAAGGCCCAGAGGACGAGGACGAGGCAGUGGAGAGCGCCCAAGCGGAGGAUUACUCGCAGCUGCCCGGAGAAGAUCACAUCCUGGAGCACCUGCCCGCCCGGCUCAAUGAGGGUGCGCACCUCGGGACGGGAGGGGAGGAGGGAAAGAGAGAGGAGAGGACGAUGAGCGGGGGAGGGAAGCCGAGCGGGUCCUGGGCUCCGCUGCCUCCACUGGCCGCCGACCUCUCGCCCACCCGCAGCCCUGCUGGAGGCCUGCGUGGAGCCCACGGACCUGCUGACCACCCUCUCCAACAUGCUGCCCGUGCGUCUGGCCACGGCCAUGAUGGUGCCCUACACGCUGCCGCUGGAGAGCGCUCUGUCCUUCACCAUCCGCUUGCUGGAGUGGCUGCCCGACGUUCCCGAGGACAUCCGGUGGAUGAAGGAGCAGACGGGCAGCAUCUGCCAGUACCUGGUGAUGCGCGCCAAGAGGAAGCUGGGCAGGCACCUGCCCUCUAGGCUGCCGGAGCAGGUGGAGCUGCGCCGCGUCCAGUCGCUGCCGUCCGUGCCGCUGUCCUGCGCCGCCUACAGCGAGGCACUGCCCGGCUGGAUGCGCAACAACCUCUCGCUGGGGGAGGCGCUGGCGAAGUGGGAGGAGUGCCAGCGCCAGCUGCUGCUCGGCCUCUUCUGCACCAACGUGGCCUUCCCGCCCGAAGCUCUGCGCAUGCGCGCCCCCGCCGACCGCGCCCCCGCCGACCCCGCCCCCGCGGACCCAGCGUCCCCGCAGCACCCGCCGGGCCUGCCCCCUUGCUGAGCACCCCUGCUCCCGAGGCCAGGCCCGUGAUCGGGGCCCUGGGGCUGCGAGACCCCGACCCUCUCGAGGAACCCUGCCUGAGAUGCCUCCAUUACCACUGCGCAGUGAGAUGAGGAGACUCACAGUUGCCAAGAGGGGCCUUUGCCGUGGGCACCCUCGCCAGCCACUCACCAGCUGCACUGAGAGGGGAGGUUUCCACACCUCUCCCCUGGGCCGCUGAGGCCCCGCGCACCUGUGCCUUGAUCUUCCCUCCCCUGUGCUGCCCGAGCACCUCCCCCGCCCCUUUACUCCCGAGAACUUUGCAGCUGCCCUUCCCUCCCCAUUUUUCAUGCCCUGCAGAAAUAGGUGUGUGAAGAAUUAUUUAUUUUUGCCAAAGCACAUGUAAUAAAUGCUGCAGCCCAG